UCCCAGGUAGCUUAAUGGUAAAGCACCCAACCGGCAAUUGGGGGAUCUGGGUUCAAGUCCCGAUCUGGGCU
Non-coding RNA from Strigamia maritima, 71 nucleotides. The record is from Rfam. Lineage: Eukaryota; Metazoa; Arthropoda; Chilopoda; Geophilomorpha; Linotaeniidae.